Molecule: long non-coding RNA, 1376 nt
Organism: Portunus trituberculatus (swimming crab)
Lineage: Eukaryota; Metazoa; Arthropoda; Malacostraca; Decapoda; Portunidae
Exons: 2
Source: RefSeq, a predicted model, not a curated record
UCUUCUGACCUCCAUAGACCCCUGCUAAUGUCAAUAAACUCAUCUAAUCACACCCAAAACUUAUGAUAAAAGUGCGUUCCAGUACUGAAGGAGUUCAGAAUACAAGCAUUGGUGCUGGAAUUCAGAAUAUGAAAGCAUGUCAUGGCACUGAAGGGUUAAAAUUGAAAUGUCAUGAAAAUAUUGAAGUAAAACGAAAAGAAACACAGACAGAGAGAGAGAGAGAUAGAUGCUGUGAUGCUAGAGUGGCUAUUUAACAGUACAUUUUUCCCUCCCCUGUGUGUGUGUCCUGCGUGCUGUGUGUAACCUGCUUCCCCUGUGUGUCCUGCCUGGCCGCCCGUCAGCCUGGGGAGAACCUGUAUGGGGUGCAUCCGGCUGACAUGGUGCUGGAGGAGACAGGGGAGGCACACAUGGCCCUCUGGCUCAACAGUAAUGCCAUGGAGGCUGAGACAAGGCCGCUGCCGGGCCUCAACCUGCGGGCCAUUGGAGGUGUAUAAUAUAUAAGUGUAUUUUGAGGCGCAUCACAGAGCAAGGGACUUGGAUGGAUACAGGCUACUCCUGUUGACUAAGCAGUAAUGUGUCCUCCAGCCAGGCACAGCUCUGGGCCUUGAAGUGUGACCCUGAGCUCAUCCAAAAUGAGCGGGGCAACGUGUGUUUCUUCAGGGACAGCAGAGGGGCACUUGGAGCACUGACGAGUGGGCAGCCAGCACAUGCACACGGUGUGAGCGAGUGCACAAAACUUAUUACAAGGAUCGGAGAGGAGAGAAACUUGACAUUGAUUUGGGUACCAUCCCAUGUUGGUGUGUUAGGUCAUGAAAAAGCUGACCACUUAGCACAAAAUGGAACAGAAAGAGAUCAAACUGUAGAACAAGCUUGUCACAAAUAGAUAAGAAAAUGACAAAUAUACAUGUUGAGCAAGAACAAGGUGCAAUUCUACAUAAAGGCGAAGUGAGCUAGUGAAACAAUGAAACACUACACCAAAGCACAAAGUGGCGCCAAUUUCACAUCUGGAAAAUAUGGAGUCAGCUGGAAAGACAGCGUGUGUGCCGGACUGAGCUUUGGAUACAAACAUUACUGGGAACUGGGCGUGUCAUGUGAGGCUCCGGCCAGGAGGAGUGUCGCCCAUGCUGUGAGCCUGACGCCCACUCCGUGCUGCAGUGCCCCGAGCUGGCAUGUGCCACAAAUAAUGCCAUCCACACCACAUAUGGAUGUUUAACAAUGGGAACAUUACACAACUGCUAUUGCUAUUCAAAACAAAUACAUCAAACAACUUAUACGCUACAUUGAAAACAAGUUAUAUAUGUGUAUAUGCAUAGAAUAGCUAAGUAUUCUGCACUAACAUUACUUAUAUAUUGUAAAUAUAUAUUAUAUAAUUAUUA